CUUCUCAUGGCGUAGUGGUAACGCGCCCCAACUAGAAAUUGGGGAGUCGUGAGUUCGAUUCUCACUGAGAAGA
This 73-nucleotide transfer RNA is filed under the name Aedes aegypti (yellow fever mosquito). It matches the Rfam family "tRNA". From Rfam's summary of the family: Transfer RNA (tRNA) molecules are approximately 80 nucleotides in length. Lineage: Eukaryota; Metazoa; Arthropoda; Insecta; Diptera; Culicidae. The record is from Rfam by way of RNAcentral.